This 785-nucleotide ribosomal RNA is filed under the name Micromonospora sp. RNAcentral describes it as "bacterial SSU rRNA". It matches the Rfam family "Bacterial small subunit ribosomal RNA", at positions 38 to 839 of the family's 1533-position model. The record is from RNAcentral. Lineage: Bacteria; Bacillati; Actinomycetota; Actinomycetes; Micromonosporales; Micromonosporaceae.
GGCGGCGUGCUUAACACAUGCAAGUCGAGCGGAAAGGCCCUUCGGGGUACUCGAGCGGCGAACGGGUGAGUAACACGUGAGCAACCUGCCCCAGGCUUUGGGAUAACCCCGGGAAACCGGGGCUAAUACCGAAUAUGACCUUCGGUCGCAUGACUGUUGGUGGAAAGUUUUUCGGCUUGGGAUGGGCUCGCGGCCUAUCAGCUUGUUGGUGGGGUGAUGGCCUACCAAGGCGACGACGGGUAGCCGGCCUGAGAGGGCGACCGGCCACACUGGGACUGAGACACGGCCCAGACUCCUACGGGAGGCAGCAGUGGGGAAUAUUGCACAAUGGGCGGAAGCCUGAUGCAGCGACGCCGCGUGAGGGAUGACGGCCUUCGGGUUGUAAACCUCUUUCAGCAGGGACGAAGCGUAAGUGACGGUACCUGCAGAAGAAGCACCGGCCAACUACGUGCCAGCAGCCGCGGUAAGACGUAGGGUGCGAGCGUUGUCCGGAUUUAUUGGGCGUAAAGAGCUCGUAGGCGGCUUGUCGCGUCGACUGUGAAAACCCGCAGCUCAACUGCGGGCCUGCAGUCGAUACGGGCAGGCUAGAGUUCGGUAGGGGAGACUGGAAUUCCUGGUGUAGCGGUGAAAUGCGCAGAUAUCAGGAGGAACACCGGUGGCGAAGGCGGGUCUCUGGGCCGAUACUGACGCUGAGGAGCGAAAGCGUGGGGAGCGAACAGGAUUAGAUACCCUGGUAGUCCACGCUGUAAACGUUGGGCGCUAGGUGUGGGGGGCCUCUCCGGUUC